AAGUCCCGCAACGAGCGCAACCCCUACGUUUAGUUGCUAACAGGUGAAGCUGAGCACUCUAGACGAACUGCCGUUGACAAACGGAGGAAGGUGGGGAUGACGUCAAAUCAUCAUGCCCCUUAUGUUCUGGGCUACACACGUGCUACAAUGGCCGGUACAGACGGAGGCGAAGCCGCGAGGCGGAGCAAACCGAAAAAGCCGGUCUCAGUUCGGAUUGCAGGCUGCAAUUCGCCUGCAUGAAGUCGGAAUCGCUAGUAAUCGCAGGUCAGCAUACUGCGGUGAAUACGUUCCCGGGCCUU
RNAcentral lists this ribosomal RNA (299 nucleotides) under uncultured Pelotomaculum sp. RNAcentral's name for it is "partial 16S ribosomal RNA". It matches the Rfam family "Bacterial small subunit ribosomal RNA", at positions 1082 to 1382 of the family's 1533-position model. The record is from RNAcentral. Lineage: Bacteria; Bacillati; Bacillota; Clostridia; Eubacteriales; Desulfotomaculaceae.